UCAAGCAAAUUUUACAUGAAGAUUUUUACAAUUUUUCUCCUAUAAGAAACAGAUACCACGAAAAAACAGAUAUACCACGAUUCAUCGGUCAGAAUGAAAAAUUAAAUUAUUAAACAUUUAAAAAUUUCAAGGAAAAUUUCAAAAUUAAUUUUUGAAUGCGUUUUCUUAUAUAAUAAAAAAAAAAAAAGAAGAGAAGAAAACGACUUACAAUAGUUUUAAAGAGGAAAUCUGCUAUUCCUGUGAUCGAAAGAUUCUUCUGAUUCCCCGAGGACUGGUGAGAAAUCCGACUAAUUCUCGAAUCCGCGACAACACGGAAGAAAACAGAAUGGGGUGAGAAAGAGCUGACCCAUUUGGCGGUAGAAUAGCCGAAGGGGGUUGGAAAAGAGGCAGCGAGUAGAAAAAAAGGCAAACCCGUGUGUACGGAACACGCGGGUAUCUUUUGUCGCCGAUCCUGGCCACCGGCGUCCCGGCAUAAUUAAAAUUCUACAGACUCGCUCCGGAAGUUUGGACCAUCUCCAAAAUCCUCGAACCAAGUUACUCUUGGAUCGAUCCAAAGGCGAAUCUUCUGCCUGUGACAUAGCUGCUGUUGAACGAAGAGAGCUGCGAUCGACCAUGGGAAAGUUAAGUGUACCAAAGAAAAUCAAGGAGAAAUUGUUUGGCUAAGUUUACACGUAGAAUGAGAAUGAUCGAUCGAACGACGUGAUAUUGACGGCCUUGGGUUUUUUGAAUGAUGGUUCAUGAUAUUUUGUGAUGGAAAAUUUGAUAGUUACAACAAUGGUACUUGGUAGUUUGCAAUAUUUUUUAUUUUCUUCCAGUUUUAGACGGUUUGUUUGAGUUAAUUUAAUUAGAGGUUAAGUUAAGAUUAAUUAUAGAAAGAGUAAUAGAAUUAUAGAUGCAAUUGCAAUUGUUUGGAUUUAAUGUUUUUAUUGAGAUAAUUCAAUCACGAUGGGCAAACUUUUUCAAUUACACGUCUCUGUUGGAUCGCAUUAAGACAAUGAUCAUAUUGCUGUAUGAGAAAUUGGAUAUUCCGUUGAAAAUUGAGAAAUACUUUCGAAUAUAUCGUGACACGAUAUUAAGAGAAAGGUAGAAUUUAUCGAACGGAUAGGAGACCAAAUGUUGAGCCAGUAAUUGGUUAAAUAUUUUAUUUGAGGAAUCUUGGGAGAGAGGAUUCCCAGAAAUUGGCCGCUUCGAGCAAAUAUUGAAAUAGGCUUCGUAAAUGGUUCUGCUCGUUUAAAAGGAAAUGUGGUGAUGCAACACGUACAACUUUCCAUCUGAUCCCAGGUGUCGCAGAGAAAAAAAUCAGAAGAAAGAAAAAUUAUAAAGAUAGAAGAAUUAUAAAUAUAGAAUUUAAGAAUCUUUCGAAAGGAAAAUAACAAAUUAAUUUUAAAGAAAUUAAAGAGUUAAACUUCUCCAUUUGUCUAGUCGUGUUCAUAAAAAUUUCAAUUUACAUUAGCAUCAGUAUUCUAUAGCUAAUAUUUUUAUAUUUCUAACAUUUUCUUCUUUUUUUUUUUUCUGUUCAAGAUACUCGUGCUGGCUUGUCCCUGGAAAAACGCGACGAAAGGGAUUGUCGUAGCUGCUGAUCACACAGUUUCUCGGUUACAUUGGCGUAACCGGUUCUCCAAGACUCCUCGUCGAGUCUCUUUGUAUCGGGCGAGGCCUGGAUUCGUGCCGUUCAAGCGAUUUUUAUUAAACGACGCGGUUGAGAGAGUACAUUGUUUGUCGCGAAUUGCACCUCUUGUGGUGAGAGCUAACCCCUGCCAGCAAGUACGAUCCCCCUUCUUCCCUUGUAAUUGCUGACUGGUAAAUUGCUUCGAAGAAAAAUUACACAUAAUCGUGAUGGAAUACUAUUUGAUCAUUCAUUUAAAUUUAAAAUAUUUCUAGAAUUUUCUCUAUAUUCGAAUCAAAAAUUCCAGAAUCGUUGAGAAUACUCUUCAAUUUAACGAUAGAAAUAUUCUAAAACUCACUUUUAAAAGUCUCAAACGCAAAAUUUUCUUCAAAUUAUAUUUAUAGCACAGAUAGAAGCUUUUUUAGAACCCCGAUCACUUUUCACUUUUAUCAAACGGAGAGCCAGACAUCUUUGCCACCCACAAUCUGUUCCUUCCCACUCAGCCCUCAUAAUUCCCCGCCAAAUACAUUCUAAAAUCGCUCGUUCAGCAUCCAUAUCCCCUUUUCGCAAUCUCUUUCUCAGUAUUCCGCCCGUGGAGAGCGCGAUUGCCCAAUUUCCCUCAAUUUUCCCAAAGCAAGUUCGAAAUCAGCCCAGCCAGGGAAGCGCGCACGAGCCCGCCAAGCUUUUAUAUUUGCUUAACAUUAGAUUACGCUCCUCGAGGGUAUGUAGGUCGUCUCGUUUGUUCCCAGUUUCAGGAAUUUACGAUUAAGUCCCGCAGAAUUGAAUUUUCGAGGGUUGGAAUAACUGCGUGCCGCUAUUCUGCGAGAAUUUCGAGUUGAACGCGAUCCCUGUUCCGUGAUUGGUCGGUGAUUUAUUCAGUUGUUUCCGUUUGUGUAGUUGGUAACAGUAUUUUUGAUGUUCUUAUAUUUGUUGUAUAAUAUUUUGUGCAAUAAAUUACACAUCUGGGUCUAUGAAUUUUGAUAAGAUAUUUUUUUCAUACGAUAUAUAUUUUUUCAUAUGUGUGUUUUGUGGCUUCGUGAUUUUUUAAUACGUUUUUUUUUUAAACAUUAAUUUUACUCUUUAUACGUUCAUAUAAAUGUUUUUAUGCAAAUGUUUUAAAUUACUACUUGUUUUAUAUAUGGUGUUUUCUUUAAAGAGACCCAGAUGUAUAAUUAGUUUUAUAUAAAAUGAUUCUUGGCAAUUUUUUUCUGUUCCCAGAAAACAAAAAGAAUAAUUGCCUUUCCUUGAUAAAUUUAAAUUUGCUCGAACAAAAUAUCGUAAUUAUAUUUUGAAAAAAUUCUACCUAAUCAAUAACGAAAUUAUUGACGAGAUUGAUCAAGAAUCAUUUUUGUUUUCGAACGUUUCAAUUAAUAAUAUUAAUAUUAUACAUUUUCAGAUCUCUUUCAACGUUAAUUACGAUAAUCAAAUGAUCAAACAACUACGUGAUACGUCAAAUACUACAUUCUUCAAAUUCAAUAUAAGUGUGGAAUCGAACCGAAAGUUCUCUUAUUAUAAUAUCGAAAAACCCAUGAAUGGAAAGUAAGACUUAAUCGUGCAGCUUUUCGCCUCCGAACCGAGUUCUCGAGCAGCUGACGCGAUAAUUUAUCGGGCCGUUUAACUUUCGAGUUUCGUUCGCGUGAAACACGAAAGAGUGGGAGAGAGAGUAAAAAAACUCGAUACAGGAAACCAGUUUCGAACAGACCAUGAUUUCAAUAGGUUCCACGACUCUCUAAACACCGAUUCCUUCUCGAUUUACUUACUCCAACCCAGAUCGAAUUUUACCUCGCAUUCUCACUCUCGAGUCUGCAACACCUCUGAAAUUCAUUCUGCGUGAUAGAAAGGAUAGAAAGAAAGAAGAAAAAAAUAAGGAAAUAAAGAGCGGAGAGAUAGGAUGGAAGAGAAGAAACGAAAGAGAGAAAGAAAGAGAGAGACUUCUUACACACAGGCGGAGAAAACGUGGCGCGUAAAUAGAGCGAAUAAAGGAGGUCGAGUUGAAAUGGGGUUGAAAAUUUGUAAAGAAGGGGAAAAGGUUUUUUUUUUAACGAGUUAAUGAAGGGAAGCCAGGGCAAGAAGGUUGAAAGUUAAUUAAGAACAACUUGGAAGGAAUGAUUAUUUUUCUUUUCUUUUCUUCCUUUUUUUUUUCUUUGAUGAUCGUGCUUCGUUCGUUGUACAAUGAAAAUUUGUUUCAUUUCAUUAAGAUUUUGUGUUUUUGUAAAUGUAAAGGUUUUUGUGAAUGUGAAUUAUUUGAAGAUACAUGUGGACCAUUUUAAGUAUGAUCAUUUUUUUGAUUAGAUUCAUAAUUUUAAUAAUAAAAAUAUGUACCAGAAGUACAAUUGGAUGAAUUAAAAGAGAUUUAUUUUUCUAUACAAUGAUAUGAAAUGUUUCAAUUAAAAUAUUCAAAAUAUGGAUACAGGAAUAUAGAAGGAUUGAAUUUGUUGCGAUUGAGCGUAGUUUCAAUGAAAGGGAGGCUUAUAACGAACGAUCGAUUCCGAAUUCAUUAAAUUAUUUCUUCGUUACGUAUUUAUUAACCAUCGUGCCCAUUUUCAGCGAUGAAUUACGAUAGUUGGUAUACAUGUUGCAUCGAUUAUAGGGAAAUUUUGAAUUGGAUGGAGAGCAACGUCGAUAUUGACGACACUGAUUGCCGCGUUUUAUUUUCUAUAAACAUCCAUCCAACCUACAAUUCUUUCAUAUAUUUUUUUUAAUUUUUCAAGAACAAAUAAAUGAUAUUGAUAAAAUAUUCGAUGUGAAAAAAAGAAAUAAAGAAGAGAUAUAAAAAUAAAAAACAAUGAUAUAUAUCGUUAAUCUCUUCAAAGAUUUUUAAGUAACGGUAUAAAUAAUAGUGUGAUCGAUGUGCAAAAGAUUCGAAGAUGGAAAGAAGAUAAAAGUGAUUCCGUAAACCAUAAAAACGUUUUAAAAAAAAUGAAAAAUCGUGAGACCAUUCCGAGGAUCUUCAAUUUUCCGAAGGAUAUCGAGCGAAAGGACGAUUUAACCAAUUCUAGAAAUAUUAUUUGUUGAGACUAUGGGAAUCAUUAGCGAGCAAUUUAUCGUGUCGUCGUAGGGAAAUCGAGCGUCCAAACACGGGGAAUCGAUAUUCCAUUACGGAGGAUCGGUGGUUCGCCAGAGAGAGGCACGAUAAGAGGGCAACUAUGGCGAACGGGGAUACCGCUUUCAAGGUGGAAGAUAGAAACGUCUGGGAAAUGAAACUUGGUUACUGAAAAGCAUGGAAUUUGAAAUCUAUCAGGAUGGGAUCACAAAAUGGUUUACAAAUCCAUAAAAAUAUUAAUUAAUUAGUCGAACACAAUAUGGUUUCACAGUAUCAUGAUAAAUUGCUUUUGAGAUCCAAUCAAUUAAAUUCUCAAUAUCGAAAAUGCUUUUGACGAUAUAUUUUAAAACUUAAUCACGAAAUGGCACCACUCGAAGAUUGUUUAACGAGUACUAAGAAUACUCGUUUCGUAAUUGUUUUUAUCGUUCAAAUUUACCUUUCAUCAUUUCUCUUAAAUUAUCGAGAAACAAUACGUGUAAUAAGACUUUUCGAUUAUUAAAGACAAUCACCCUCGUCACGAACGUGAAUUAACAAUUGUUAUCUAACGAGGAUAGUCGUAAGCGGAUACCUUUCUUUGUCAUUAAUUAUCCACUCGUUAAUGAUCAAUUACGAGCGUAUCGUAUUGACAAUAAAGCAAAAUCGAAAAACGAUGAAAAAGAAAAAAAGAAAGAAAGCGGAAUCAUUUCUGGAAAUCGAGACAGUCCCUACUUAUCCCACGAUAAAUCCAUCGAUCGAAUCAGUGGAUAUGAAUACCCGGCCCUUAUUACUCGUCAUUAAUCGGCUGGUAAUUAGCGAUUGCUAAUUGAGGCUUUCUCGACAAUAAAAGCAAAUAAAAGCUAACUCAAAAAUGGAGUUAAAAAAGAGAUGAUGAAAAUGAAUUUUAUGGAAAUUAGUCUUUUUAUCAAUGAUUGAUGGUGAGAUUGGUAAUGAAAAUUUACAUUAGAACAUUGAAUGUGUAUUUUUUUUUUAAUUGAAAGUUAUAUUUGAACAUAAUUAGAAAAAUUAUAAGAAUUAUGUCAGAUAGAUGGAAUAGAUGUGCAUGAUAAUUUAACCAAGCAUUUAGAUCAAAACUAAUUUUUAACAAAAGAAAUAAUUUAACAGAACAGCAAUGCAUUAUAUAAAAAAAAAUUGUGGUCCAGAUUCUACUUUAAUACCUUACUCUCGUAAAAUCUUGAAAAGUGCAAGGAUAAUUUCAUGAUUAAUUCAAAAUCUACCUGAAAUUAAUCUUUUUCAAAAGUAAUAAUUUGACAGAAUAACGUUGCAUUAUUGCAUAAACCAAGAUUGUGAUUCAGAUUCUACAGUAUCCUUCGUAGUAGAAUUUAAAGCGAAUUCAUGGAUUUUCGAGCUGGUAGCCUACAAUGAAUUUACCUUACCGAACGAAUAUUUAGAAGGCGGGUCACAGAGAAGAACAACACGGAAUAGAGACACGAUGCUCGUUGGAAAUACUGAAUAGUCUUUCCACGGUCGUCGAAUAAGUCAACGUUUAACUCUUGUUAUUUGGAAAGACAUUUAUACUUGGCAGUAUCUCUUCCAAUUUCAUUUUGGAUACUCUUGUUUUACUUCACAAAAUUAGUUUGACAAGUAUCUUAUUAAAAUAAAUUCCUUAAAA
Apis florea (little honeybee) is the source of this 6258-nucleotide long non-coding RNA. The record is from RefSeq and is a predicted model, not a curated record. Lineage: Eukaryota; Metazoa; Arthropoda; Insecta; Hymenoptera; Apidae.